CUAAGGUAGCGAAAUUCCUUGUCGGGUAAGUUCCGACCUGCACGAAUGGCGUAACGACUUCCCCACUGUCUCCAGGAUAUGCUCAGCGAAAUUGAAUUCUCCGUGAAGAUGCGGAGUACCCGCGGUUAGACGGAAAGACCCCGUGCACCUUUACUGCAGCUUCAGAGUGGCAUUAGGAAAGAAUUGUGUAGAAUAGGUGGGAGGCUUUGAAACUUGGGCGCCAGUCCGAGUGGAGCCAUAAUGUGAAAUACCACCCUAUUGUUUUCUGGUGUCUAACUUAGAUCCGUUAUCCGGAUCAGGGACCCUCUGUGGCGGGUAGUUUGACUGGGGCGGUCGCCUCCUAAAGAG
Molecule: ribosomal RNA, 348 nt
Filed under: Pseudo-nitzschia fraudulenta
Lineage: Eukaryota; Bacillariophyta; Bacillariophyceae; Bacillariales; Bacillariaceae
Description: partial Bacterial large subunit ribosomal RNA
Rfam family: Bacterial large subunit ribosomal RNA
Source: RNAcentral